UCCUGCCAGUAGUCAUAUGCUUGUCUCAAAGAUUAAGCCAUGCACGUCUAAGAUCGCUAGGGGUGGGCAACCACUUACGAGUAAUCUGCGAAAGGCUCAUUAUAACAGUUACAAACUUGGCUACUAGUUUCCCCACAAGGAUAACACAGCCAAAUGCAGCGAUAAUACUUGAACAAACGUUGGUGAAUUGUAUAGCCAACAAACAGUAGCAACAAAGGAAUGUCUGCUACAUAUCCCCGCAAGGGGUGUUGACCAUAGUAAUGUGGCCUAGAAGAGGUAUUUCUUCCUUAUCAGUUAGUUGUUUCAGUAAGGGUGAAACAAGACUAUUACGGGUACGGGGAAUCAGUGUUCGAUUCCGGAGAGGGAGCCUGAGAAAUGGCUACUACAUCUAAGGAUGGCAGCAGGCGCGAAAAUUACCCAAUCCUAACAUUUUUGGGAGGUAGUGACAAGAAAUAACGACCUUACACGUGACAUAAGUCUGUGGAAGGGUUUCUUUGCAAUGGUUCUAGUUUAAAUCUCUAGGAGAGUAGCGAUUGGAGGACAAGUCUGGUGCCAGCACCCGCGGUAAUUCCAGCUCCAAAAGCAUAUACUAAAAUUGCUGUAGUUAAAACGCUCGUAGUUUAUAAGUAGGUACCCUUAGCCUGUACCUUUUAUGGUCUGGCUCGAGGGAGAUUAACUCGUGAGUGUUCCGACUAUUGAAACCGUGAACAAAUUAAUGUGUUUAAAGCAAGCUUAUGCUUGGCAACAAGUAUCGCUUGAAUAAUUUAGCAUGGAACCCCUUUUUCCCCCGACUGGUAACCCCAGUUGGGGGAUGAGAAAAUAAAAGGUCGGCGGAGGACUCUGGUAUUGUGUGCUUAGAGGUGAAAUUCCGAAAUUUACGCAAGACGAUCGGAGGCGUAGGCUGUCAUUGCCCAUCACACCUUUAUUGAUCAGGAACGAAAGUCAGGGGAUCGAAGAUGAUUAGAUACCGUCGUAGUCCUGACUGUAAACUAUACUAACAGGA
This 1003-nucleotide ribosomal RNA is filed under the name uncultured soil eukaryote. Its description in RNAcentral is "SSU rRNA". It matches the Rfam family "Eukaryotic small subunit ribosomal RNA", at positions 12 to 1050 of the family's 1831-position model. The record is from RNAcentral.